This 514-nucleotide ribosomal RNA is filed under the name fungal sp. GZ-2010b. Its description in RNAcentral is "eukaryotic LSU rRNA". The stretch from base 205 to 358 matches the Rfam family "5.8S ribosomal RNA". Lineage: Eukaryota; Fungi. The record is from RNAcentral.
UGGAAGUAAAAAGUCGUAACAAGGUCUCCGUUGGUGAACCAGCGGAGGGAUCAUUACCGAGUUUACAACUCCCAAACCCCUGUGAACAUACCACUUGUUGCCUCGGCGGAUCAGCCCGCUCCCGGUAAAACGGGACGGCCCGCCAGAGGACCCCUAAACUCUGUUUCUAUAUGUAACUUCUGAGUAAAACCAUAAAUAAAUCAAAACUUUCAACAACGGAUCUCUUGGUUCUGGCAUCGAUGAAGAACGCAGCAAAAUGCGAUAAGUAAUGUGAAUUGCAGAAUUCAGUGAAUCAUCGAAUCUUUGAACGCACAUUGCGCCCGCCAGUAUUCUGGCGGGCAUGCCUGUUCGAGCGUCAUUUCAACCCUCAAGCACAGCUUGGUGUUGGGACUCGCGUUAAUUCGCGUUCCCCAAAUUGAUUGGCGGUCACGUCGAGCUUCCAUAGCGUAGUAGUAAAACCCUCGUUACUGGUAAUCGUCGCGGCCACGCCGUUAAACCCCAACUUCUGAAUGUU